UACGUAGGUGGCAAGCGUUGUCCGGAUUUACUGGGUGUAAAGGGCGCGUAGGCGGAGAGACAAGUCAGAUGUGAAAUCUAUGGGCUUAACCCAUAAACUGCAUUUGAAACUAUCUCCCUUGAGUGAUGGAGAGGCAAGCGGAAUUCCUAGUGUAGCGGUGAAAUGCGUAGAUAUUAGGAGGAACACCAGUGGCGAAGGCGGCUUGCUGGACAUUAACUGACGCUGAGGCGCGAAAGCGUGGGGAGCAAACAGG
This 253-nucleotide ribosomal RNA is filed under the name Papillibacter cinnamivorans. Its description in RNAcentral is "partial 16S ribosomal RNA". It matches the Rfam family "Bacterial small subunit ribosomal RNA", at positions 524 to 776 of the family's 1533-position model. Lineage: Bacteria; Bacillati; Bacillota; Clostridia; Eubacteriales; Oscillospiraceae. RNAcentral also lists the same sequence under 2 other names. The record is from RNAcentral.